AGGUGGUGCGAGGCAGCCGCGGGCGCAACGUGUUGUGUCCGAGGAAAGUCCGAGCACGGCAGGACACGGUGGUGGGUAACGCCCACCCGCCCCAUGAUUCGUUUCGCGUCUCGGGGGCGAGGGAAAGUGCCGCAGAAAGCAAACCGCCGAUGGCGACGCUCGCGUCGCACAGGCAAGGGUGAAAGGGUGCGGUAA
This 195-nucleotide RNase P RNA is filed under the name Phycisphaerales bacterium. Its description in RNAcentral is "partial RNase P RNA component class A". It matches the Rfam family "Bacterial RNase P class A", at positions 1 to 170 of the family's 367-position model. From Rfam's summary of the family: Ribonuclease P (RNase P) is a ubiquitous endoribonuclease, found in archaea, bacteria and eukarya as well as chloroplasts and mitochondria. Its best characterised activity is the generation of mature 5'-ends of tRNAs by cleaving the 5'-leader elements of precursor-tRNAs. Lineage: Bacteria; Pseudomonadati; Planctomycetota; Phycisphaerae; Phycisphaerales. The record is from RNAcentral.